UACGAAGGGUGCAAACGUUGCUCGGAAUCAUUGGGCGUAAAGCGCACGUAGGCGGCCUCAUAAGUCGGAUGUGAAAUCCCUCGGCUCAACCGAGGAAGUGCAUCCGAAACUGCGAGGCUCGAGUAUGGAAGAGGGUCGCAGAAUUCCCGGUGUAGAGGUGAAAUGCGCAGAUAUCAGGAGGAACACCGAUUGCGAAGGCAGCUCGCUGGGACGUUACUGACGCUGAGACGCGAAAGCGUGGGGAGCAAACAGG
This 253-nucleotide ribosomal RNA is filed under the name uncultured bacterium. RNAcentral describes it as "partial 16S ribosomal RNA". It matches the Rfam family "Bacterial small subunit ribosomal RNA", at positions 524 to 776 of the family's 1533-position model. The record is from RNAcentral.